RNAcentral lists this ribosomal RNA (495 nucleotides) under uncultured bacterium. RNAcentral describes it as "partial 16S ribosomal RNA". It matches the Rfam family "Bacterial small subunit ribosomal RNA", at positions 28 to 507 of the family's 1533-position model. The record is from RNAcentral.
GACGAACGCUGGCGGCGUGCCUAAUACAUGCAAGUAGAACGCUGAAGGAGGAGCUUGCUUCUCCGGAUGAGUUGCGAACGGGUGAGUAACGCGUAGGUAACCUGCCUGGUAGCGGGGGAUAACUAUUGGAAACGAUAGCUAAUACCGCAUAAGAGUAGAUGUCGCAUGACAUUUGCUUAAAAGGUGCCACUGCACCACUACCAGAUGGACCUGCGUUGUAUUAGCUAGUUGGUGAGGUAACGGCUCACCAAGGCAACGAUACAUAGCCGACCUGAGAGGGGGAGCGGCCACACUGGGACUGAGACACGGCCCAGACUCCUACGGGAGGCAGCAGUAGGGAAUCUUCGGCAAUGGACGGAAGUCUGACCGAGCAACGCCGCGUGAGUGAAGAAGGUUGUCGGAUCGUAAAGCUCUGUUGUAAGAGAAGAACGAGUGUGAGAGUGGAAAGUUCACACUGUGACGGUAUCUUACCAGAAAGGGACGGCUAACUACGUG